CAAUAUGACCUCGACCUUUGCUUUUGCAGAGAAAGGACAGUUGCUUACCAGAUGUUUAUAAAUUGGUUCUUUCGUACAACCAAUUGGAUAUUCUUGUGUUGUGUGAAUUCCUUUUUACCAAAAGUUAUGAGGAACCUCAGAGGUUUUGGGCCCUCAAGGAGGAAUUCGAGAAGUCCUCAGGGCUUUCGUCUAUUGGUAAGAGCACAACGCAUGAUGUGUGGAUUAGGUGCAUGUCACAAGUUUGAACUCUGCCGCAGACAGAAUCCUGGUAUUUAAGUGGAGAAGGGUUAAGGUACAGGUCCAUUAUCCACCGAACUUCAGACUCUGCACCAGUUGGCUCUCAAAAUAUUUCAGUUGUCAACGAAAAUAGAAGAGAUUUUGGGAGCAUAUACCUUGUGAAAAGGAAGGGUACAUAAUUUGUGCAGUCAGGAACUGGUGAAGCUGGGGUAUCAGAAAGUGACUGCAUCAUAGGAUUUAUCCAACAGCUGUUGUUCGAUUGUUUGUGUUCCCUUAAGUAGUGAUUUUUUCUUAAUCAUGAUUAGUUAGGGAGGUUGUAUUCUAGUAAUCUGUGCAUUAUUUUCUAUUUUGGAACAUGCGUACACACCCCCUAGUAGCUUCAAAGAGAAAUCAAGUUGUGCAUUCUCAAUGUGUCUCCCUCUCUUCGUCUUACUAUAGAAUUCUGAAGGACAACACUAAAUCCUUGGCUUUUGGUUAUUUUGAGACUUAACUGCUAUGUCAUACUUUUUCAGGAUUUCAAAGACAAAAUACCCAUGCUACAAUAGAAAUCUGGUCAAAUGGAUUUUGUCUGAACCAACAGAUCGUCUCUGCUGAGCCUUCUGCAGCACAUUGCAUGCAUAUAUCUUCUGUUCAGCAAUAAUAACUAGAUGACUCCAGCUACUUGGAAGUCUUCAAGCCAGUCAUAAUCCUUAAUGAGGUGUUACAACUGCAGUCAAUAUGACCUCGACCUUUGCUUUUGCAGAGAAAGGACAGUUGCUUACCAGAUGUUUAUAAAUUGGUUCUUUCGUACAACCAAUUGGAUAUUCUUGUGUUGUGUGAAUUCCUUUUUACCAAAAGUUAUGAGGAACCUCAGAGGUUUUGGGCCCUCAAGGAGGAAUUCGAGAAGUCCUCAGGGCUUUCGUCUAUUGGUAAGAGCACAACGCAUGAUGUGUGGAUUAGGUGCAUGUCACAAGUUUGAACUCUGCCGCAGACAGAAUCCUGGUAUUUAAGUGGAGAAGGGUUAAGGUACAGGUCCAUUAUCCACCGAACUUCAGACUGUGCACCAGUUGGCUCUCAAAAAAUUUCAGUUGUCAACGAAAAUAGAAGAGAUUUUGGGAGCAUAUAC
This 1342-nucleotide long non-coding RNA is filed under the name Solanum tuberosum (potato). RNAcentral describes it as "long non-coding RNA (STUB_LNC010824)". Lineage: Eukaryota; Viridiplantae; Streptophyta; Magnoliopsida; Solanales; Solanaceae. The record is from RNAcentral.